RNAcentral lists this transfer RNA (86 nucleotides) under Nocardioides daphniae. RNAcentral's name for it is "tRNA-Leu". It matches the Rfam family "tRNA". From Rfam's summary of the family: Transfer RNA (tRNA) molecules are approximately 80 nucleotides in length. Their secondary structure includes four short double-helical elements and three loops (D, anti-codon, and T loops). Lineage: Bacteria; Bacillati; Actinomycetota; Actinomycetes; Propionibacteriales; Nocardioidaceae. RNAcentral also lists the same sequence under 7 other names. The record is from RNAcentral.
GUCCGGGUGGCGGAAUAGGCAGACGCGCUAGCUUGAGGUGCUAGUGCCCUUUAUCGGGCGUGGGGGUUCAAGUCCCCCCUCGGACA